AAGUCGUAACAAGGUUUCCGUAGGUGAACCUGCGGAAGGAUCAUUGAAAAAGUUUUGAAAGAAAAAAAAAUUAAUUUUUUUUCCCUUCCCGGGGAAAGGAUUUCCGCCUUCUAAAAAUUUCGGCUGAUGAAAUGGUUGUGCUGCCGCAUGCCACCGCGAGAAAUCUUUUUCUUGCGCUGUUCAGCGUGUUGCCUCGACCGAAAAAUUGACACAACUUUUAACAAUGGAUCUCUUGGCUCUC
This 241-nucleotide unclassified non-coding RNA is filed under the name Phylloporus sp. RNAcentral's name for it is "partial contains small subunit ribosomal RNA, internal transcribed spacer 1, and 5.8S ribosomal RNA". The stretch from base 1 to 46 matches the Rfam family "Eukaryotic small subunit ribosomal RNA", at positions 1786 to 1831 of the family's 1831-position model. Lineage: Eukaryota; Fungi; Basidiomycota; Agaricomycetes; Boletales; Boletaceae. The record is from RNAcentral.